GUUUUUUGGGGGCUGAAACUUGGUAUUUAGGAGGGUUUUAUGGGCACAGGAUGCCUGGUGACUUCUAGAGAUGGACUUGGGCAGGAGGAACCCCCAACCCAACGGGCUCACACCCUGUUUUUCCCACCAAAACAGGAUUUCUGAUUCCCAAACCUUGGCUGGAUGGAGGAGGAGGCUGUGAGGAAGAGGAAGAUGCCCCAGGACACCCAGACAGGACAACCUCGCUGUUGUCCUGCCGGGGAUGGAUUUGAGGGGAUCUCCUUCCCCUUCCCCUUCUCUCUCUGGGCUGGAACAGAUGAACAGGAGUGUCCAGUCCCAUAGGCCAAGAUGACACAAUGAAUCUCUGCAGUUCCUGCAAAGUAGAGCCUAAACCGUUAAACAAUUUUGCUGAUUAACCUUC
Molecule: long non-coding RNA, 400 nt
Organism: Corapipo altera (White-ruffed manakin)
Lineage: Eukaryota; Metazoa; Chordata; Aves; Passeriformes; Pipridae
Exons: 2
Source: RefSeq, a predicted model, not a curated record